UUGAACCUUUGCUUCUCUCGCUGCAGCCUCUGCUUCCCUCGCUGCCGCAUCUGCUUUAAGUUGUAGCUGGAGUUCUUCAUAUUUCCAUUGAUCCUCAGCUGUGGUCGCUUGCAUCUGAGUCAUCUGGUCUUUUAACCUCUGAACUUCAGCUUGAGCCUAACUCCCCGAAGCCAUGUAUUGUUGCGAGCUGGAUCCAAAAUAUUGGGUUGGGCUAACCAAAGAUCCUUGAAAUCGAACCCGACCAUACCUUUCAGGACCCAAAAC
Molecule: long non-coding RNA, 264 nt
Filed under: Gossypium barbadense (sea-island cotton)
Lineage: Eukaryota; Viridiplantae; Streptophyta; Magnoliopsida; Malvales; Malvaceae
Description: long non-coding RNA (GBAR_LNC021185)
Source: RNAcentral